GAUGAACGCUGGCGGCGUGCCUAAUACAUGCAAGUCGAGCGAACAGACGAGGAGCUUGCUCCUCUGACGUUAGCGGCGGACGGGUGAGUAACACGUGGAUAACCUACCUAUAAGACUGGGAUAACUUCGGGAAACCGGAGCUAAUACCGGAUAAUAUAUUGAACCGCAUGGUUCAAUAGUGAAAGACGGUUUUGCUGUCACUUAUAGAUGGAUCCGCGCCGCAUUAGCUAGUUGGUAAGGUAACGGCUUACCAAGGCAACGAUGCGUAGCCGACCUGAGAGGGUGAUCGGCCACACUGGAACUGAGACACGGUCCAGACUCCUACGGGAGGCAGCAGUAGGGAAUCUUCCGCAAAGGGCGAAAGCCUGACGGAGCAACGCCGCGUGAGUGAUGAAGGUCUUCGGAUCGUAAAACUUUGUUAUUAGGGAAGAACAAAUGUGUAAGUAACUAUGCACGUCUUGACGGUACCUAAUCAGAAAGCCACGGCUAACUACGUG
This 497-nucleotide ribosomal RNA is filed under the name uncultured bacterium. RNAcentral describes it as "partial 16S ribosomal RNA". It matches the Rfam family "Bacterial small subunit ribosomal RNA", at positions 28 to 507 of the family's 1533-position model. The record is from RNAcentral.